CAGGUGGUAGCUCAAUGGUAGAGCUUUCGCUUUGUACGCGGACAGACCUGGGUUCGAUUCCCGGCUGCUUCC
Molecule: transfer RNA, 72 nt
Filed under: Toxocara canis (dog roundworm)
Lineage: Eukaryota; Metazoa; Nematoda; Chromadorea; Rhabditida; Toxocaridae
Rfam family: tRNA
About the family: Transfer RNA (tRNA) molecules are approximately 80 nucleotides in length.
Source: Rfam by way of RNAcentral